This 22-nucleotide non-coding RNA is filed under the name Arabidopsis thaliana (thale cress). The record is from RNAcentral. Lineage: Eukaryota; Viridiplantae; Streptophyta; Magnoliopsida; Brassicales; Brassicaceae.
UAGUCAUAGCUUCUUGAUGAGU